GAUGAACGCUGGCGGCGUGUCUAAUACAUGCAAGUCGAGCGAACAGAAGAGGAGCUUGCUCCUCAGACGUUAGCGGCCGACGGGUGAGUAACACUUGGCUAACCUACCUAUAAGACUGGGAUAACUUCGGGAAACCGGCGCUAAUACCGGAUAAUAUAUUGAACCGCAUGGUCCAAUAGUCAAACACGGUUUUGCUGACACUUAUAGAUGUAUCCGCGCCGCAUUAGCUAGUUGGUAAGGUAACGGCUUUCCAAGGCGACGAUGCGUAGCCGACCUGUGAGAGUGAUCGGCCACACUGGAACUGAGACACGGUCCAGACUCCUACGGGAGGCAGCAGUAGGGAAUCUUCCGCAAUGGGCGAAAGCCUGACGGAGCAACGCCGCGUGAGUGAUGAAGGUCUUCGGAGCGUAAAACUCUGUUAUUAGGGAAGAACAAAUGUGUAAGUAACUAUGCACGUCUUGACGGUACCUAAUCAGAAAGCCACGGCUAACUACGUG
This 497-nucleotide ribosomal RNA is filed under the name uncultured bacterium. Its description in RNAcentral is "partial 16S ribosomal RNA". It matches the Rfam family "Bacterial small subunit ribosomal RNA", at positions 28 to 507 of the family's 1533-position model. The record is from RNAcentral.